RNAcentral lists this ribosomal RNA (500 nucleotides) under uncultured bacterium. Its description in RNAcentral is "partial 16S ribosomal RNA". It matches the Rfam family "Bacterial small subunit ribosomal RNA", at positions 30 to 523 of the family's 1533-position model. The record is from RNAcentral.
AUUGAACGCUGGCGGAAUGCUUUACACAUGCAAGUCGAACGGCAGCACGGACUUCGGUCUGGUGGCGAGUGGCGAACGGGUGAGUAAUGUAUCGGAACGUGCCCAGUCGUGGGGGAUAACGUAGCGAAAACUACGCUAAUACCGCAUACGAUCUAUGGAUGAAAGCGGGGGAUCGCAAGACCUCGCGCGAUUGGAGCGGCAGAAAUUAGAUUAGGUAGUUGGUGGGGUAAAGGGCCACCAAGCCAACGAUCUGUAGCUGGUCUGAGAGGACGACCAGCCACACUGGAACUGAGACACGGUCCAGACUCCUACGGGAGGCAGCAGUGGGGAAUUUUGGACAAUGGGCGAAAGCCUGAUCCAGCCAUUCCGCGUGCAGGAUGAAGGCCCUCGGGUUGUAAACUGCUUUUGUACAGAACGAAAAGGUUUCUACUAAUACUAGGAGCUCAUGACGGUACUGUAAGAAUAAGCACCGGCUAACUACGUGCCAGCAGCCGCCGUAA